CCGGAAUUACUGGGUGUAAAGGGAGCGCAAGUGGGAUGGAAAGUCGAAUGUGAAAUCUAGAGGAUCAACUCGAAAGUUGCGUUCAAAACUGUCGUGCUUGAGUGAAGUAGAAGCAGAUCGGAAUUCCCGGUGUAGCGGUGGAAUGCGUAGAUAUCCGGAGGAACACCCGUGGCGAAGGCGGCCUGCUGGGCUUUAACUGACACUGAGGCUCGAAAGCUUGGGGAGCAAACAGGAUUAGAUACCCUGGGAGUCCACACCGUAAACGAUGAUUACUAGGUGUGGGGGGACUGACCCCUUCCGUGCCGGAGUUAACACAAUAAGUAAUCCACCUGGGGAGUACGGCCGCAAGGUUGAAACUCAAAGGAAUUGACGGGGGCCCGCACAAGCAGUGGAGUAUGUGGUUUAAUUCGAAGCAACGCGAAGAACCUUACCAGGUCUUGACAUCCCGUGCAUAGCAUAGAGAUAUGUGAAGUCUUCGGACACGGAGACAGGUGGUGCAUGGUUGUCGUCAGCUCGUGUCGUGAGAUGUUGGGUUAAGUCCCGCAACGAGCGCAACCCUUACCGACAGUUACUACGCAAAGAGGACUCUGUCGGGACCGCCGUUGACAAAACGGAGGAAGGUGGGGAUGACGUCAAAUCAUCAUGCCCUUUAUGACCUGGGCUACACACGUACUACAAUGGCCGUUAACAAAGGGGACCGAACAGGCGACUGUGAGGAAAUCCGAGAAAAGCGGUCUCAGUUCGGAUCGCAGGCUGCAACCCGCCUGCGUGAAGUCGGAAUUGCUAGUAAUCGCGGAUCAGC
This 802-nucleotide ribosomal RNA is filed under the name uncultured bacterium. RNAcentral's name for it is "bacterial SSU rRNA". It matches the Rfam family "Bacterial small subunit ribosomal RNA", at positions 545 to 1353 of the family's 1533-position model. The record is from RNAcentral.